Molecule: long non-coding RNA, 2415 nt
Organism: Arvicola amphibius (Eurasian water vole)
Lineage: Eukaryota; Metazoa; Chordata; Mammalia; Rodentia; Cricetidae
Exons: 3
Source: RefSeq, a predicted model, not a curated record
UGCCUGCACAGCAUGCAGAGGAGGAGGCCCAGAGACAUGCAAAGCCAGCUUCAAAGAAUGGGUGCCCUGGAAUUUAACCUGAGGCACCCUGAAGGUACCUGGUUCUGAUUUCAAGGUGCUGCCAGGGGAAGGAGCCCUGUCUGGUGAGCUGACAGAUUUCGUCCCAGCUGUCUUUAGGAAGUGGCAGUCAGGAAGGAAAGAAGGAAAGGGUUUGCUGGGAAGAGCUGCCAUUUCCCAAACGGGGCUGGAGCAUCAGGGAAGGCAGCACAUGUAGGGCAGAUGGAAAGGAGCUUAAGGAACUGAAAUCUCGCCAGCCCCUUCCUGGAACUCCAGAGACUGAGAUGAGCAAGGAGGCACAUGUGAGCUACAGAUCCAUCAGAGACAGACCAUUCUGCGAUGCACUGCCAGGGCUCACUCCAGUGACUCCCAGGGUUCAAAGAGACUGUGGCUGGACAUGGGCCAAGGCUUCUAAAGCAAAGGCAGCACCGAGAGGGUUAAAAGUUUGCAUCAUGCUACUCUCUCGCAGAAGGGUGGUGUCCCCUGUCUAAAUGAGUGUGCUGAUGGGCUUCAAGCAAGAUUUCUUAGUUCACAGAGGAAAGAUCUGAAGACAAAUCUGAAGUCAACCUGCUGCCUACCAAAUACUAACUGGCUGUUCUGAAAAACAAGAAUAACGCCUGAGGCCAAAUGGCACUGAUGAGGAACAUACAUAGAAGAUAAAGACUGAAGACCAGCAGACUAAGGCAACGUCAACCCGACAACAGCGGCUGCCAAUCCAGUCUGCAGUUCCUGCUGCCCGUCUCCAGGCAUUUCUUCUUAAGCUUCUUUCUGACAUCUGACCACAUGUACCUCCCUUUCUCUGUCUGAAGACAUUGGGAGCCAUAGUGGUGAGGGUAAAUUCAACCCUGUCUCUGUCCUCUGGACAUACAAGAUCUUCUUCAAUUGCCUCCUAACUGCCAUUUAUAUGUAUAACUUGCCUGUGGUUUGUUGUGGUCUUCCUUGGCCUGAGGCCUGGCAUCAUACGACAGUUCUGCAAACUCUCAGCCAUGGCCCUUUCCAAAAGGCCUCCUACUCCUCUUCCCCUGCAGCUCCCAGUGUCAGCUGCACACCUCUGUAUACCACUGUUUGCGCAUCACUUCACAGUCUCCACCUCUGUCUCUCUGGAUCUACUACUCUAGUCUAAACUGGAAGUCUCAGCAGCUGUUUCUGCUGCUCUCACUCGGGCUUCAAGAGUUUGUGGGUUCCGGUGGUGAGCUACUCACUAGAACUUUACUGGGAGAUCUAAGACUCAGACUGAGGAGAAAUUCCCCACGACAGGGUCUGGGUGUUACAAACAUGCUCUGUCCAGUUCCUCCCAAAGCUUAUCUGGACUAGCCUCAUGGUGUGAAUUUGGCCCAUAGUCCACAUGUGGUAGAGGGGUUGUGAGCACAGCUCUCAGUCCUGGGCCAAUCUAGGCAGGUUACUUUUUCAUGUCACCAAGACACAGCUCUCCAUGUCUUGAUGUAGAUGGGUCACAGGUAACAAGUCCUGCAUCUUCAUCCCCCAUUUCACACAGUGAUCAGGCUGAGUCUUCCGAUCAACAACAAAUGUAGAUUUCUACACCGAGUCCUUGCUACGCACCCAUACUCCCAGGCACCAAGGGCCAGUUUAUUUUGAGGCUCAGCUUCUUUUCAUGCCAGCUCAGCAACAGGUUAAAACUGAUCCACAAUACUUACUUGGUAGUCUAGUUACUCAGCUGGGAAGAGUGCUUCUACAUUCACAUGGUCAAGUUAGUCAUGCACUACCAUGUUCAUUAUUUAAUUUGAGAGCCAAGUUUGUUCAUAAGCUGAAAAUAAUUUCCAUGAAAAUUUGGCAGCAAUUAUAUCAGUUGAAAUCUCAGAGAAAUAAUCAGAGAAUUCCCACAUAGGACAGGCCAUGUGCUUCCUCACUGAAGAAAUGAGGUGACACAGUGGUCUGAGGAAUGACGGUGAGGAUGAGCCUGUAAUCUAGGGGUCAUACCAGGGCUUCGCGCAUUCUAGGCAGACUACCACUGACCUACAUCCCAUCCUAGGAGGAAGGUCCUGAAAUAAACAUGUCUCCCUUUCUUUGCUUGUAAGAACUGAGUAAGCAGAAUGCUACUGUUGGGGGUGUAAAGACUAGACUACAGAAAAUACGCCAGACAAUCACCUGGAUACAAAGAAUAUCCCUCUGUAAAUUUCAAUUUUCUGCUACAGAGUCCCAUCCAAUUCUAAAUUCAUGUUUCCAUGCGAUACAGCACUAUAUAUCUUGACCUCUGUAUCUGUGGGUCUUGCAUAGAAAGGUUCAACAAACUGUGGAUUGAAAAUACUUGAAACACUAAAUCUGUAAUGAACGUGUAGAGACUUUCCUUUCUUGUUCUUAUUCCCUGAGCAAUAAAGUAAAACUGAUGUUCGUAAAGCA